This 425-nucleotide ribosomal RNA is filed under the name uncultured bacterium. Its description in RNAcentral is "bacterial SSU rRNA". It matches the Rfam family "Bacterial small subunit ribosomal RNA", at positions 354 to 777 of the family's 1533-position model. The record is from RNAcentral.
GUCGAGAAUCAUUCACAAUGGGGGAAACCCUGAUGGUGCGACGCCGCGUGAGGGAAGACGGCCCUAUGGGUUGUAAACCUCUUUUGUCGGAGAACAAAACCCGGGACGUGUCCCGGACUGCGUGUAUCCGAAGAAAAAGCAUCGGCUAACUCCGUGCCAGCAGCCGCGGUAAUACGGAGGAUGCGAGCGUUAUCCGGAUUUAUUGGGUUUAAAGGGUGCGUAGGCGGUCCGUUAAGUCAGCGGUAAAAUUGCGGGGCUCAACCCCGUCGAGCCGUUGAAACUGGCAGACUUGAGUUGGCGAGAAGUACGCGGAAUGCGCGGUGUAGCGGUGAAAUGCAUAGAUAUCGCGCAGAACUCCGAUUGCGAAGGCAGCGUACCGGCGCCACACUGACGCUGAGGCACGAAAGCGUGGGGAUCGAACAGGA